UACUCAUGGUUAAGCGUUUCUUUUUUUUUUUUUUUUUCUUACAAAUAAGUUUCACAAAUCGAGAAAAUGGCGCAAACAGGAAACGGUCGAUGCGCACGGAUAAAUACACGGAGACGUAGACGGAGACAUACUCGAUCAUGUACAGCACAUUAGACGCGAUAGAUAGAUUACGGCGCGGCGGCCGCUAGCUCAUUUUGCAGAGUGCCGGAGAGGUGCGUGCGCGCACAACCGUACACACGUGUAUACACAUACAUACUCGUUUGCUGUGCUCAUAAGAGAACGUGUGCGCGGAACAUUACGAGCGCACACACGCGAAGAGGAACAAAGAAAAAGCCCUAGCGACCAGCAAUGCGGCAACGGUGAGCGCCUGCGCGCCACGCUAUGUGAGUCAAGGACGACACGUGCGGCUCGAAACGACCUACUUAUAUCCCCGUUGCUUCGUGCGCGAUCGGCUUGCCACACGAACCUUUCCGAACGUAGAAAUAGGACGUCCAAGUCGAGUUCCAAUGUUCCACCAAGCCACCCCCUUCCCUUCCCAAUACGCCAGCUUCGUUAAUCGACUAACCGCUAUACACGCAGCACCGUUCUUUCACGUUUUAAUACUUCGAUCGCAACGAACGUUUCAAUUCCACCAUUUUUCUUCAUCUUUUCUUUAUUUCAUCUCGAAACGUCGGUUAAGAAUUUCCAUUUUUUUUUUUCACUUCUCCCGCGUUUUUACGCGUGUCGUGUAACGCGCUACCAUUAUCUUUUUUGUUUUGUUUCAUUGUUGUAUCGAUAAAUGAACGUCAUCGGUUUUCCGAUCCUCGAUCCUAUUGAAGAGAAUAUUCACGAUGAGAAUAAAAACGAUAGGAACGUUUUCCAGGAACGUCGUGUGAUUACGUAACGUUAAUGUUAAUCGUGUGCGCGUUAAAUCGUCGCGUAAAACUCCGAAAUUGGUGUACGAAUUAUACGAUCGACCACUUUACAAUCGGACUUGAAAAGACAAAGAGAAAAUGAACAGUGCGACAAGACAACGGAUUGUAUUCAGCUUCGUUACGAGGUCACCGCGGAAGUUUCGAAUAUUUGGAGAACCGAAUCUUGAUGGUCGGAGGCUACUGCGAAAGCUGGAUAAUCGAUAGAAAAAUGGGUCAACGAUUUGGUGGCGCUUUCAACCAAGAGGGGUUGGCUGACCUCCAUCCCCCGUGUUCGCAUUCGAGAACACCACCAGGAUGGCCCUUUGGACCCGUACCAUCGAGGUCUAAAGGCGGUGGGUAUAAAGGCUGUCUUGAUUCGUCGGUUUUCUUCCCACCGGCAGCAUAAGUAGCGCGUUUCCGCGCGGGUUGUGGCCAGUUCCUGUUCGUCCGUCAUACGACCGUAGCGAAGCGCGGGCGUGUGGAAUCUUCCAACACACGUACAUGCAAAUAUACGUGGAUGUUGGUGUGCAGAAAAGCUCGCGAGUAGCGUGUAUGCAUACACGUGUGUAGAUCAGACAUAUGGAUGUGUGGUACGCAGUGUCCUCGUCUGAAUAUCAUUUGUGUAAGAUCGAGAGUGGCCUCGUGUGGUUCUUACGUGUAUGUGGUAGUGAGUCCCAUGGAUAGUGAACGCCGCGGGAAUUCUUGGUGUGCAAUCGGCCAAUCGUAGGCCAAGUAGCAACGGCUGUGCACCAAUCAGCUAGCAGAAAUCCUCGCGAAUGCGCGCCACAGUUGCCACCGGAUGCCGAUCAUACUUGGUAGUGGGGAUAGACUGAGAGUGCGGCACAGGCUACGUGCUCGAGCGCAUCCUCGUUCGUCGCUGCUCGCCGUCGGAGUCGGUCGUGUUUCACGCUUUAGUCUUCUCACUACUAGUUUUCCGAAGUGGAAGAGAAGAACUUGUUCGCCAGUCUCGAACGUCUUUGUUCAGUUACGAUCAAGCCAUCGUUCUGUGUUGCCUUAUCAUUUUUGGAGCUAAGAGAUACGCAAUUACCACCAUGAAUCGUGUUACCACUCGUGUCGGGUAUCGGUCUGAAUCGUACUGUGCCGUGGCGCGCGGUCGCGCGGUUCGCAAUUUGCGUGCGUGGCGUGGCUUUGAGACCAAACAUAACCGGAAAUGAGCACCAACCAUUAAAUGUUCGAUUGUGGUAUGACAGGUUUUUUCAAUCGUUCAUUGUGCAUUUUGUUUUUCAUUUGCUUAGAAGUUUGUAAAACGAGUGAUUACAAUUUCGCGCAAUUUACUACGACUAUAAUAUUCGAGUUUAUAUUAAUAAUUUUUCGACGAUUUUAGUAUGUUGUAAUUUUAUAGUAAAAUUAUUGUUACACUCUUACAGUGAGAAUUGCAAUUGCCAGCGCGGCACAAUCGGCUCCGAAAGAUAUCUCUAAGCAGUUGAUCGUGAAAAUCUUGAAUAAAAAGAAAUAAAGAAAUCAUGCGGGAA
Osmia bicornis bicornis is the source of this 2386-nucleotide long non-coding RNA. RefSeq lists it as uncharacterized. Lineage: Eukaryota; Metazoa; Arthropoda; Insecta; Hymenoptera; Megachilidae. The record is from RefSeq and is a predicted model, not a curated record. The transcript has 2 exons.